AUUGAACGCUGGCGGCAGGCCUAACACAUGCAAGUCGAGCGGAUGAGAAGAGCUUGCUCUUCGAUUCAGCGGCGGACGGUUGAGUAAUGCCGAGGAAUCUGCCUGGUAGUGGGGGACUACGUCUCGAAAGGAACGCUAAUACCUCAUACGUCCUAUGGUAGAAAGCAGAUGACCUGCGGGCCGUGCGCUAUGAUAUGAGCCUAGGUCGGAUUAGCUAGUUGGUGAGGUAAUGGCUCACCAAGGCGACGAUCCGUACAGUGUACACUGGUCUUAGAGGAUGAUCAGUCACACUGGAACUGAGACACGGUCCAGACUCCUACGGGAGGCAGCAGUGGGGAAUAUUGGACAAGGGGCGAAAGCCUGAUCCAGCCAUGCCGCGUGUGUGAAGAAGGUCUUCGGAUUGUAAAGCACUUUAAGUUGGGAGGAAGGGCAGUAAGUUAAUACCUUGCUGUUUUGACGUUACCGACAGAAUAAGCACCGGCUAACUCUGUGCCAGCCGCCGCCGUAA
This 508-nucleotide ribosomal RNA is filed under the name uncultured bacterium. RNAcentral's name for it is "partial 16S ribosomal RNA". It matches the Rfam family "Bacterial small subunit ribosomal RNA", at positions 30 to 523 of the family's 1533-position model. The record is from RNAcentral.